This 478-nucleotide ribosomal RNA is filed under the name uncultured bacterium. RNAcentral describes it as "partial 16S ribosomal RNA". It matches the Rfam family "Bacterial small subunit ribosomal RNA", at positions 28 to 507 of the family's 1533-position model. The record is from RNAcentral.
GACGAACGCUGGCGGCGUGCUUAACACAUGCAAGUCGAACGGGAUUUAGUAGACAGAAGCCUCGGCUAAAGAUUACUAAUGAGAGUGGCGAACGGGUGAGUAACGCGUGAGCAACCUGCCUAUGACAGUGGGAUAGCCACGGGAAACCGGGAUUAAUACCGCAUAAAAUCGUAGAAACACAUGUUUUAACGGUCAAAGAUUUAUCGGUCAUAGAUGGGCUCGCGUCUGAUUAGCUAGUUGGUGAGAUAACAGCCCACCAAGGCGACGAUCAGUAGCCGGUCUGAGAGGAUGAACGGCCACAUUGGAACUGAGACACGGUCCAAACUCCUACGGGAGGCAGCAGUGGGGAAUAUUGCACAAUGGGGGAAACCCUGAUGCAGCGACGCCGCGUGAACGAAGAAGGUAUUCGUAUCGUAAAGUUCUGUCCUAUGGGAAGAUAAUGACAGUACCAUAGAAGAAAGCUCCGGCUAAAUACGUG